This 70-nucleotide transfer RNA is filed under the name Marmota marmota marmota (Alpine marmot). Lineage: Eukaryota; Metazoa; Chordata; Mammalia; Rodentia; Sciuridae. RNAcentral also lists the same sequence under 1 other name. The record is from Rfam by way of RNAcentral.
GGAGUUGUUGCUCAGUAGUUAGAGCACCUGCCUAGCACAUGUGAGGCCCUGAGUUCAAUUCUCAGCACCA